Molecule: ribosomal RNA, 1401 nt
Filed under: metagenome
Description: bacterial SSU rRNA
Rfam family: Bacterial small subunit ribosomal RNA
Source: RNAcentral
AGAGUUUGAUCCUGGCUCAGGAUGAACGCUAGCGGCAGGCCUAAUACAUGCAAGUCGAGGGGUAACAGGGUAGCAAUACUGCUGACGACCGGCGCACGGGUGCGUAACGCGUAUGCAACCUACCUUUAACUGGGGGAUAGCCCCGAGAAAUCGGGAUUAAUACCGCAUAACACUGUGAUAUGGCAUCAUAUUACAGUUAAAACUCCGGUGGUUAAAGAUGGGCAUGCGUGACAUUAGUUAGUUGGUAGGGUAACGGCUUACCAAGACUACGAUGUCUAGGGGUUCUGAGAGGAUGAUCCCCCACACUGGUACUGAGACACGGACCAGACUCCUACGGGAGGCAGCAGUAAGGAAUAUUGGUCAAUGGACGCAAGUCUGAACCAGCCACGCCGCGUGCAGGAAGACGGCCCUAUGGGUUGUAAACUGCUUUUAUAUAGGAAUAAACUCAUGUUCGUGAACAUGACUGAAGGUACUAUAAGAAUAAGGACCGGCUAACUCCGUGCCAGCAGCCGCGGUAAUACGGAGGGUCCAAGCGUUAUCCGGAUUUAUUGGGUUUAAAGGGUGCGCAGGCGGACCUAUUAGUCAGUGGUGAAAUCUCGGGGCUCAACUCCGAAACUGCCAUUGAUACUGUAGGUCUUGAGUUUGGUUGAAGUGGGCGGAAUGUAGCAUGUAGCGGUGAAAUGCAUAGAUAUGCUACAGAACACCGAUCGCGAAGGCAGCUCACUAAGCCAAAACUGACGCUCAGGCACGAAAGCGUGGGUAGCGAACAGGAUUAGAUACCCUGGUAGUCCACGCCGUAAACGAUGAUCACUCGUUGUUGGCGUCACAUUGUCAGUGACCAAGCGAAAGCGAUAAGUGAUCCACCUGGGGAGUACGUUCGCAAGAAUGAAACUCAAAGGAAUUGACGGGGGCCCGCACAAGCGGUGGAGCAUGUGGUUUAAUUCGAUGAUACGCGAGGAACCUUACCUGGGCUCAAAUGUAAGUUGACAGGUCCUGAAAGGGAUUUUUCUUCGGACAAUUACAAGGUGCUGCAUGGUUGUCGUCAGCUCGUGCCGCGAGGUGUCGGGUUAAGUCCCAUAACGAGCGCAACCCUAUUCUUAGUUGCCAUCAGGUCAUGCUGGGGACUCUAGGAAAACUGCCUACGCAAGUAGAGAGGAAGGUGGGGAUGACGUCAAAUCAGCACGGCCCUUACGUCCAGGGCUACACACGUGCUACAAUGGCCGGUACAGAGGGCAGCCAUCCCGCGAGGGAGAGCGAAUCUCGAAAGCCGGUCUCAGUUCGGAUCGAAGUCUGCAACCCGACUUCGUGAAGCUGGAAUCGCUAGUAAUCGCGCAUCAGCCAUGGCGCGGUGAAUACGUUCCCGGGCCUUGUACACACCGCCCGUCAAGCCAUGGAAGCUGG